GCUUUAUUUCCUGUGAUUUUACAUGUAUUCUUUUUAUCCAUAAAAUAUGUGCAGACUUUCUCCAGCCCAUUGUUGUUGUUUUCCUACAUUAAAAUCACCAUUGCCUGUUUUUAAUAUUAACUGUGUUCCUCCGGUCCGCCAGGGGGCGCUGCGGCCUUCAGACGCGCCGCCGCAGCUUCGUUAUGAUUCCUGGAAGAAAAUAGACAUUUUCGAGGUAACUGAGCGGCUCACUGGCCGAAACGAGCCUCCAGCAUCUACUAAACCCUCAUUACUGCCCCUGUUUCUACAUUAAUGUGCGCAUUUCGGCUCCUCGCUCCUGCCGUUAAAUAGCCAGCUGGUGCGAAGCGGCGAAAAUAUCCGCGGCCGGAACUUACAGUCGCUUCUGUUUAGCACGUUAGCUGCUGCAGCUAAGCUAAGCUAAAGUUAGCCUUGGCGGUGUUUGCGGCUGAUGGCUGACUUCGGCAGCAGGAUCCUGACAUCUUCUGAACAUCUUCGAGGUGGAGCUGCAGGAAAAGCGUCGUCGUCCUCGGUCAUGGCCGGAAACGGAAACUGGGAGGCUGCCGGCAGCAUGGACCAGAUCACCGUGGUGAGGAUCGACGACACGCACAUCGCAGGGGAGCAGUCGCACAUGGGCGGGAAGGCGAGGAGCAACGUGACCGAGUACUACGAGAUGGAGUAUUCGCUGCCCGCCGAGGAGGAGGUGGUAGAGGAGGAGGAGGAGGGCGUCUACGUCAUCGAGUACUCCAACCCCGAAGAGGAGGGAGAGAGCUACCAGUUCACCGUGUCCGUCGACCGCUCGCUUCCCGCCAAGAAGCCGGUUGUGAAGCGGCCGGUGGUCCGAGAGAGGAGCGCAGAUCCGCCACCGUCCAGACUGAUGAGGCCGAGGCUAGAGCAGAAGAGGAAGCUGGAGGAGGCGAGGAGGGAGGAGCUGGUAAGCAACAAGAGCGUCCUGGAGCUGGGUGAGGACUACAGCGAUGUCAUGAACUCGGGGCAGAGGCAGCUGGUGUGCACCAUGUGUCCGCCGCCCGGCAAGACCUUCAAGAGGGCGUCGGGCCUCGCCGUGCACCUGAAGCAGACGCACCACAUGGAGGGCAAGAAGACGUUCUUCUGCACGUCCUGCCAGCAGUCGGUCCGCACGCAGGUGGAGCUGGACGCCCACACCCGUCGCCACGCCAACCAGGACGCCGUCUUCACUUGCCACGUGUGCCCGGCCGGCGGUCUGGAGGCGUUCAGUGGCUCCAGGUGGGGUCUGAGGAAGCACCUGGAGAAGGAGCACCCGGGCGUCGUCCCGCGCUGCCACGUCUGCAGCAAGGGCUUCAAGACGCUGGCAUCGUACCUCGCAGACCAGUUCCGGCACGUCGGGGUGUCGCCAUACUACUGCGCCAAGUGUCAGAUCUACGAAAUGACUGAGAGGGGGUUGAGCGUGCAUGUCAAGAACCACAACAAGAAGAAGAAGAGGGAGCAGCAGCAGCAGCAGCAGCAGGAUGGACACGAGCCGCCGCCAGAGCCAACAGGAAUCCUCGCCGCCGAUAACUCGGCCACAGACGACUCCGACUUCUGACCACAUUCCUGCUGGUCGAGACUGAAGCAGCUCAAGAGACUCGUCUGACUUUAUGCAUCUGAACUGAAUGUCGGACAGAAAUAAACGUUUGUCACCGUUAGAUUGUUGUUGUUUUUUUUUUUUUGUUUUUUUUUUAAACAAUCAUCCCUUUUAUUUGGGAGUUUUCCAUCAUAAUCUGGUUGCAGAACAGAGAAUGUGAAGGUGCAUCAUGCUGGGUUAUUAUGUUUUAUUUUACAUUUUUACUCACUGUAGGUUAAUUUUUCUCUGCAGCAUAAAAUCCUGAACCUCUGUGGAAACAGAACAACCACCACUAGAAGUAGAGAGAACUUAAAUAUGGCUUAUGAGUGUUACGGCAGAAUUAAAAUGUCAUGCAUUAUAAAAAAUAGGGAAAAAAGUUGAUGACUAAUUUCACAAUAAACAAGAAAAUUUGGAGUCUGUUUGUCCAAUACUUUAUUGGAAUCAAUCAUGAAUUGUAAAAAACUAAAGUUACAUUUCUUUCAUAGUUUAAGAAAAAUGUAAAAAACUGAAAACAAGGUCAACACUUAACAAAAAUAUUAGCAGUAGAGGAAAAAUGGUGACUCUACGUAUGAUAGAUGUUUGUUUUUUUAUUUAAAAAAAUGGUUUUCAUUCAUUUUUUUGCUCUAUACAGCCUGCAGUUCAGUUUAGGAGUGCAGAAUUUUUGGUUUAACCCUCCUGUCAUCUUCAUUUACGGGCACCAAAAAAUAUUGUUUCCUUCUCUGAAAACAAAAUCCAAAAAUUCAGCAAAAAAAUUCCCCGAAUUUCUGAAAACUUGCAAAACCUUCAGGAAGAAAAUUCUAAUAAUUCCUUAAAAGUUUCCCUUCAAACUUUUAUUUAAAAAAAAAAAAAAAAAAAUCCCCAAAUUUGGCAACAAAAUUCUUGUAAAUAUUUUCCAAAAAAUUAGUAAAAAUCCUCAAAAAAAAUCCUAAAAAUAUCUAAAGUGAUUCCACAUAUAUCAGUAAAACUUCUAAUAUUUUCUUAAGAACAUUCACAAAAAAAU
Amphiprion ocellaris (clown anemonefish) is the source of this 2579-nucleotide long non-coding RNA. The record is from Ensembl. NCBI's taxonomy places the organism in Eukaryota, Metazoa, Chordata, Actinopteri, Pomacentridae.